CAUUGAUGCCUCCUUAUCUUACUGACAGGACUCAAGACCGCCCUGGGAUUUCAUGAUAUACACCAGCUGUCAGGAACAAACUGUUCGGGCAGCGUUGCAGCUUCACCACUGCUGAGCUGGAGACAGCAGCAGCUGGCACCAGCGUGGACCCAGCUCCUGAUGAGACAGGAUCUUUCCCCUUGAAGGUGCCCACAGGCUAAUGCUCUGCAGCUGGGAAGGGCCUGGUGCUGGGGAGGGAGAUGGGAAACACCUGGGGAGCCUGGAGGAGGGGCUGGAGCCUACUCCUCACAGAUCUGGCAAGGUUGGAAGCCCAGAAGAGGGCACAUCACCCCAUCGUCACAAAAUGGUGGAAGUACAGGAGCUGUUAGCCCAGAAUGAACCAAAGGAAAUGGGAACACAGCAAAACCUUCAGUGAGUGCUUUUUCCUCAUCUGGAACCUGCUAAGGGUAGAUGCAAAAAUGGUGCAGGCUGGGGUUUGCCUUGCAGUUUCGCUUACCAGCAAGGCAUCGCUGCCAUCUAGUGUCCCUGCCUUGCACUGCCAGCUCUGCACAAGGGCACAAGUUACAGCUGCUUUUACUUCUCCCUGGCCUAAAACGGACUACCUGUCUCUCACGAGCACCGUUUGGUCUGGCUUGACCUGCAGAGCACGUACCAGAGCAAGCUACCUGUGCUGCCCGAGCAAGAAGUACUUUCACUUCAGGUUAGUGAACAGAGGUCGCAUCUCUGCUGUACCACCUCUCCAUGCCUGCACCUCUCCUGCACCUUGGUGCUCCCAACUCAAUCUCUAACAUCUUUGUUCCCGGUUUCUUCACUCCUUUACGCGUACACCGCCGCUUCUGGCAUGGCUGAGGAAUCUCUGUCCGGCCACAGGGUCAUGGAAUCCUGAGAACUCAGUGUGCUUCUCUCACUAUAAUUUUGCAAUACCUUGACUGGCAAAAGAGGGAGAGGAGGGGGCAGGGGGUGUGAAGAAGUGCAGUAGCUUGCAUUCCUGUUUGCAGAGGUCGGGAUAAGGAAGGGUCUGAUGCCCUAGGAACAUGGGACACGAGGAACUGGGGAAGCUGGCUGGCUUGCCAGCAGUCUGGAUUAAGCACGAGGGUAACAAUAAGGAUAUCAUUUACAGCAUUUUGAGGGCUAUAUUUAAAGAAUUAUAGUAUCGCUUUUCUGGGAUUUAGUGUCUUAUCAAGGCUCUUCUCUGACAUGCACUUUCACUGACUUGAAAUCCUUCCUUCUGCUGCUCGCUUGUUACUUGGGGUAUUGUUGCUACUGAGCUUCUGAAAGUGGCCAAGGAGACGCUGCUUCCUCAGGGUCUGUGCGUGCAGGGGAGGAAUGGAGUCCUCCUGUUCCUCUGCAGGAGGCAACUCGACCAACCACAACAAACAGUGCAAGUACAAUUCCAAACCUGGUCACCGAGCGGGUGAAGGGAAGUAGAGGAGCAGCUGAAAAGAGAAACUCUCCAAACAGACCAGAGUUUGAUUGGAUUAAAAAAAGUGUAUUGGACGUCCAAUACAAAAUAAUAAACAUGAAGUUAUUAAAAAAAGCCAUAGAGUAUACAGCAAAUACUACAGAAAAGCAAAAAAAAAUUGUACAGAAAGGUAGACGUCUACA
Numida meleagris (helmeted guineafowl) is the source of this 1605-nucleotide long non-coding RNA. RefSeq lists it as uncharacterized. Lineage: Eukaryota; Metazoa; Chordata; Aves; Galliformes; Numididae. The transcript is spliced from 5 exons. The record is from RefSeq and is a predicted model, not a curated record.